Molecule: ribosomal RNA, 433 nt
Filed under: uncultured bacterium
Lineage: Bacteria
Description: partial 16S ribosomal RNA
Rfam family: Bacterial small subunit ribosomal RNA
Source: RNAcentral
AACGAACGCUGGCGGCAUGCCUAACACAUGCAAGUCGAACGAGACCUUCGGGUCUAGUGGCGCACGGGUGCGUAACGCGGGGGAACCUGCCCUUAGGUUCGGAAUAACUCCCCGAAAGGGGUGCUAAUACCGGAUAAUGUCUUCGGACCAAAGAUUUAUCGCCUUUGGAUGGGCCCGCGUUGGCUUAGCUAGUUGGUAGGGUAAAAGCCUACCAAGGCGACGAUCCAUAGCUGGUCUGAGAGGAUGAUCAGCCACACUGGGACUGAGACACGGCCCAGACUCCUACGGGAGGCAGCCGUGGGGAAUAUUGGACAAUGGGCGAAAGCCUGAUCCAGCAAUGCCGCGUGAGUGAUGAAGGCCUUAGGGUUGUAAAGCUCUUUUACCCGGGAUGAUAAUGACAGUACCGGGAGAAUAAGCUCCGGCUAACUCCGUG